UAGGGAAUAUUGGACAAUGGGGGCAACCCUGAUCCAGCCAUGCCGCGUGAGUGAAGAAGGCCCUCGGGUUGUAAAGCUCUUUUGUCCGGAAAGAAAAGCAUUCGGUGAAUACCCGGAUGUUCUGACGGUACCGGAAGAAUAAGCACCGGCUAACUUCGUGCCAGCAGCCGCGGUAAUACGAAGGGUGCAAGCGUUAAUCGGAAUUACUGGGCGUAAAGCGUGCGUAGGUGGUUGUUUAAGUCUGAUGUGAAAGCCCUGGGCUCAACCUGGGGAUGGCAUUGGAAAGUGGGCAGCUAGAGUGCGGUAGAGGGGAGUGGAAUUCCCGGUGUAGCAGUGAAAUGCGUAGAGAUCGGGAGGAACAUCUGUGGCGAAGGCGACUGCCUGGACCAGCACUGACACUGAGGCACGAAAGCGUGGGGAGCAAA
RNAcentral lists this ribosomal RNA (425 nucleotides) under uncultured bacterium. RNAcentral's name for it is "bacterial SSU rRNA". It matches the Rfam family "Bacterial small subunit ribosomal RNA", at positions 355 to 772 of the family's 1533-position model. The record is from RNAcentral.